Molecule: ribosomal RNA, 437 nt
Filed under: uncultured bacterium
Lineage: Bacteria
Description: partial 16S ribosomal RNA
Rfam family: Bacterial small subunit ribosomal RNA
Source: RNAcentral
GAUGAACGCUGGCGGCAUGCUUUACACAUGCAAGUCGGACGGGAAGUGGUGUUUCCAGUGGCGGGCGGGUGAGUAACGCGUAAGAACCUGCCCUUGGGAGGGGAACAACAGCUGGAAACGGCUGCUAAUACCCCGUAGGCUGUGCAGCGAAAGGAGUGAUCCGCCCAAGGGGGGGCUCGCGUCUGACUAGGUAGUUGGUGAGGUAAUAGCUUACUAAGGCGGUGAUCAGUAGGGGGUCGGAGAGGAUGGUCAGCCACACUGGGACUGAGCCGAGGACCAGACUCCUGCGGGAAGCAGUAGUGGGUAAUUUUCCACAAUGGGAGACCGCCUGAAGGAGCAAUGCCGGGGGGAGGAAGGAGGUCUAGGGGUAAUGAACUUCCUCCCGUGGAGAAGAAAGAGUGACGGUAUCUGGGGAAUAAGCAUCGGCUAACUAUGUG